RNAcentral lists this ribosomal RNA (254 nucleotides) under uncultured bacterium. Its description in RNAcentral is "partial 16S ribosomal RNA". It matches the Rfam family "Bacterial small subunit ribosomal RNA", at positions 524 to 777 of the family's 1533-position model. The record is from RNAcentral.
UACGAAGGGGGCUAGCGUUGCUCGGAAUCACUGGGCGUAAAGCGCACGUAGGCGGAUCCUUAAGUCGGGGGUGAAAUCCUGGAGCUCAACUCCAGAACUGCCUUCGAUACUGAGGAUCUCGAGUCCGGGAGAGGUGAGUGGAACUGCGAGUGUAGAGGUGAAAUUCGUAGAUAUUCGCAAGAACACCAGUGGCGAAGGCGGCUCACUGGCCCGGUACUGACGCUGAGGUGCGAAAGCGUGGGGAGCAAACAGGG